This 449-nucleotide ribosomal RNA is filed under the name uncultured bacterium. RNAcentral describes it as "partial 16S ribosomal RNA". It matches the Rfam family "Bacterial small subunit ribosomal RNA", at positions 29 to 523 of the family's 1533-position model. The record is from RNAcentral.
AACGAACGCUGGCGGCAUGCCUAACACAUGCAAGUCGAACGAUGCUUUCGGGCAUAGUGGCGCACGGGUGCGUAACGCGUGGGAAUCUGCCUUGGGGUACGGAAUAACUCAGAGAAAUUUGAGCUAAUACCGUAUGAUGUCUUCGGACCAAAGAUUUAUCGCCCUGAGAUGAGCCCGCGUAGGAUUAGCUAGUUGGUGGGGUAAAGGCCUACCAAGGCGACGAUCCUUAGCUGGUCUGAGAGGAUGAUCAGCCACACUGGGACUGAGACACGGCCCAGACUCCUGCGGGAGGCAGCAGUGGGGAAUAUUGGACAAUGGGCGCAAGCCUGAUCCAGCAAUGCCGCGUGAGUGAUGAAGGCCUUAGGGUUGUAAAGCUCUUUUACCCGGGAAGAUAAUGACUGUACCGGGAGAAUAAGCCCCGGCUAACUCCGUGCCAGCAGCCGCAGUAA